This 484-nucleotide ribosomal RNA is filed under the name uncultured bacterium. RNAcentral describes it as "partial 16S ribosomal RNA". It matches the Rfam family "Bacterial small subunit ribosomal RNA", at positions 30 to 507 of the family's 1533-position model. The record is from RNAcentral.
AUUGAACGCUGGCGGCAGGCCUAACACAUGCAAGUCGAGCGGAUGAAGGGAGCUUGCUCCUGGAUUCAGCGGCGGACGGGUGAGUAAUGCCUAGGAAUCUGCCUGGUAGUGGGGGAUAACGUCCGGAAACGGGCGCUAAUACCGCAUACGUCCUGAGGGAGAAAGUGGGGGAUCUUCGGACCUCACGCUAUCAGAUGAGCCUAGGUCGGAUUAGCUAGUUGGUGGGGUAAAGGCCUACCAAGGCGACGAUCCGUAACUGGUCUGAGAGGAUGAUCAGUCACACUGGAACUGAGACACGGUCCAGACUCCUACGGGAGGCAGUAGUGGGGAAUAUUGGACAAUGGGCGAAAGCCUGAUCCAGCCAUGCCGCGUGUGUGAAGAAGGUCUUCGGAUUGUAAAGCACUUUAAGUUGGGAGGAAGGGCAGUAAGUUAAUACCUUGCUGUUUUGACGUUACCAACAGAAUAGGCACCGGCUAACUUCGUG